UACGGGGGGGGCAAGCGUUGUUCGGAAUUACUGGGCGUAAAGGGCUUGUAGGUGGCCAACUAAGUCAGACGUGAAAUCCCUCGGCUUAACCGGGGAACUGCGUCUGAUACUGGAUGGCUUGAGUGUGGGAGAGGGAUGCGGAAUUCCAGGCGUAGCGGUGAAAUGCGUAGAUAUCUGGAGGAACACCGGUGGCGAAGGCGGCAUCCUGGACCGAUACUGACGCUGAGGAGCGAAAGCCAGGGGAGCAAACGGG
This 253-nucleotide ribosomal RNA is filed under the name uncultured bacterium. Its description in RNAcentral is "partial 16S ribosomal RNA". It matches the Rfam family "Bacterial small subunit ribosomal RNA", at positions 524 to 776 of the family's 1533-position model. The record is from RNAcentral.